RNAcentral lists this ribosomal RNA (729 nucleotides) under uncultured crenarchaeote. RNAcentral describes it as "bacterial SSU rRNA". It matches the Rfam family "Archaeal small subunit ribosomal RNA", at positions 554 to 1286 of the family's 1478-position model. The record is from RNAcentral. Lineage: Archaea; Thermoproteati; Thermoproteota.
ACGAUUCAAUCGCUGGACUGCGGGAGAUACUGUUAGGCUAGGAGGCGGGAGAAGCCGACGGUAUUUCCGGGGUAGGGGUAAAAUCCUAUAAUCCCGGGAGGACCACCAGUGGCGUAGGCGGUCGGCUAGCACGCGCUCGACGGUGAGGGACGAAAGCUGGGGGAGCAAACCGGAUUAGAUACCCGGAUAGUCCCAGCUGUAAACGAUGCGGGCUAGGUGUUGGAGUGGCCACGAGCCACUUCAGUGCCGCAGGGAAGCCAUUAAGCCCGCCGCCUGGGGAGUACGGCCGCAAGGCUGAAACUUAAAGGAAUUGGCGGGGGAGCACCACAAGGGGUGAAGCUUGCGGUUCAAUUGGAGUCAACGCCGGGAACCUUACCGGGGGCGACAGCAGAAUGAAAGCCAGAUUGAUGGUCUUGCUAGACGAGCUGAGAGGAGGUGCAUGGCCGUCGCCAGUUCGUGCCGUGAGGUGUCCUGUUAAGUCAGGCAACGAUCGAGACCCACACCCCCUGUUGCCACUGAGGAGUUUUCCAAGGGGCACUCUGGGGGGACUGCCAACGAUAAGUUGGAGGAAGGGGUGGGCUACGGCAGGUCAGUAUGCCCCGAAUCCCCCGGGCCACACGCGAGCUGCAAUGGCUGGGACAGUGGGUUCCGACCUCGAGAGGGGGAGGUAAUCCCUAAACCCGGCCUCAGUUUGGAUCGAGGGCUGAAACCCGUCCUCGUGAAAAUGGA